Echinostoma caproni is the source of this 82-nucleotide non-coding RNA. The record is from Rfam. NCBI's taxonomy places the organism in Eukaryota, Metazoa, Platyhelminthes, Trematoda, Plagiorchiida, Echinostomatidae.
GGCCUCGUAGCUCAGCUUGUAGAGCAUGCGCAUACAAAACGUGAGCAGCAUCCAUGCGUGGGUUCGAAUCCCACCGAGGCUA